UCGGACUGUAGGCUGCAACUCGCCUACACGAAGCUGGAAUCGCUAGUAAUCGCGGAUCAGCACGCCGCGGUGAAUACGUUCCCGGGCCUUGUACACACCGCCCGUCACACCAUGAGAGUCUGUAACACCCAAAGCCGGUGGGAUAACCUUUAUAGGAGUCAGCCGUCUAAGGUAGGACAGAUGAUUAGGGUGAAGUCGUAACAAGGUAUC
This 210-nucleotide ribosomal RNA is filed under the name uncultured bacterium. RNAcentral's name for it is "partial 16S ribosomal RNA". It matches the Rfam family "Bacterial small subunit ribosomal RNA", at positions 1293 to 1500 of the family's 1533-position model. The record is from RNAcentral.